This 450-nucleotide ribosomal RNA is filed under the name uncultured bacterium. RNAcentral's name for it is "partial 16S ribosomal RNA". It matches the Rfam family "Bacterial small subunit ribosomal RNA", at positions 354 to 796 of the family's 1533-position model. The record is from RNAcentral.
GUGGGGAAUUUUGGACAAUGGGCGAAAGCCUGAUCCAGCCAUGCCGCGUGUGUGAAGAAGGUCUUCGGAUUGUAAAGCACUUUAAGUUGGGAGGAAGGGCAGUAAGUUAAUACCUUGCUGUUUUGACGUUACCGACAGAAUAAGCACCGGCUAACUUCGUGCCAGCAGCCGCGGUAAUACGAAGGGUGCAAGCGUUAAUCGGAAUUACUGGGCGUAAAGCGCGCGUAGGUGGUUUUGUAAGUUGGAGGUGAAAUCCCCGGGCUCAACCUGGGAACUGCCUCCAAAACUGCAUGACUAGAGCACGGUAGAGGGUAGUGGAAUUUCCUGUGUAGCGGUGAAAUGCGUAGAUAUAGGAAGGAACACCAGUGGCGAAGGCGACUACCUGGACUGAUACUGACACUGAGGUGCGAAAGCGUGGGGAGCAAACAGGAUUAGAAACCCCUGUAGUCC